Molecule: long non-coding RNA, 252 nt
Filed under: Lathyrus oleraceus (garden pea)
Lineage: Eukaryota; Viridiplantae; Streptophyta; Magnoliopsida; Fabales; Fabaceae
Description: Pisum sativum (pea) long non-coding RNA (PSAT_LNC036104)
Source: RNAcentral
AACAAUGUUAUCACCCUAUUCAAAGGAUUGAAAGAGUCUUGUUUGGAGUUGUGUGGGGUUGAAUAAUUAUGUUUGUAAUAUUUCAGAAGUUGGCAGAAAAAGAAAAAAAUAGAAAAGAAAAAAAAAAGAAUGAAAAAAUAGAAGGAUAAGAGGAAGAAAAAAAGGAAUUAUGUUUGUAAUAUUUCAAUACAUACUCCUUCAAAAAAAUGAAUAAAAAGAGGAAGGAGAAGAGAAAACAAUUGUUAUAGAGUU